CGAGGCGUAGCGCAGUUUGGUAGCGCGCUUGCUUCGGGAGCAAGAGGUCGUGGGUUCAAGUCCCGUCGCCUCGACCA
Molecule: transfer RNA, 77 nt
Filed under: Subdoligranulum sp. CAG:314
Lineage: Bacteria; Bacillati; Bacillota; Clostridia; Eubacteriales; Oscillospiraceae
Also listed under: 4 other names
Description: transfer RNA-Pro(CGG)
Rfam family: tRNA
About the family: Transfer RNA (tRNA) molecules are approximately 80 nucleotides in length. Their secondary structure includes four short double-helical elements and three loops (D, anti-codon, and T loops).
Source: RNAcentral